UCCGGCUUAUCACCGGCAGUCCCUCUAGAGUGCCCAACUAAAUGAUGGCAACUAAAGACAAGGGUUGCGCUCGUUGCGGGACUUAACCCAACAUGUCACCACGCGAGCUGACGACAGCCAUGCAGCACCUGUCUUCCUGCUGUAUUGCUACAGACACCGUAUCUCUACGGCUAGCAGGAGAUGUCAAAUCCAGGUAAGGUUCUUCGCGUUGCUUCGAAUUAAACCACAUGAUCCACCGCUUGUGCGGGCCCCCGUCAAUUCCUUUGAGUUUUAGUCUUGCGACCGUACUUCCCAGGCGGGGUACUUAUUGCGUUAGCGCCGGUUCAGCAGGGGUCAAGACCCACCAAACCUAGUACCCAUCGUUUACAGCGUGGACUAC
Molecule: unclassified non-coding RNA, 379 nt
Filed under: uncultured Oligoflexales bacterium
Lineage: Bacteria; Pseudomonadati; Bdellovibrionota; Oligoflexia; Oligoflexales
Description: contains 16S-23S intergenic spacer region
Source: RNAcentral